This 74-nucleotide transfer RNA is filed under the name Coriobacteriia bacterium. RNAcentral describes it as "tRNA-Gln". It matches the Rfam family "tRNA". From Rfam's summary of the family: Transfer RNA (tRNA) molecules are approximately 80 nucleotides in length. Lineage: Bacteria; Bacillati; Actinomycetota; Coriobacteriia. The record is from RNAcentral.
UGGGGUGUCGUCUAAUGGUAGGACAGCGGCUUCUGGUGCCGUAUGUGGGGGUUCGACUCCUCUCACCCCAGCCA